Molecule: ribosomal RNA, 311 nt
Filed under: uncultured Acidobacteriota bacterium
Lineage: Bacteria; Pseudomonadati; Acidobacteriota
Description: bacterial SSU rRNA
Rfam family: Bacterial small subunit ribosomal RNA
Source: RNAcentral
UGGCUCAGAACGAACGCUGGCGGCGUGCCUCAGACAUGCAAGUCGAACGCGAAAGCCUCCUUCGGGGGGCAAGUAGAGAGGCGCACGGGUGAGUAACACGUAGGUAAUCUACCUUUGGAUUGGGAAUAACCAUCGGAAACGGUGGCUAAUACCGAAUAAUGCAGCGGCACCUAAUGGUGACAGUUGUUAAAGCGGGGGAUCGCAAGACCUCGCGUCUAAAGAGGAGCCUGCGGCGGAUUAGCUAGUUGGUAGUGUAACGGCUUACCAAGACGAAGAUCCGUAGCCGGCCUGAGAGGGCGGUCGGCCACACU